Molecule: ribosomal RNA, 426 nt
Filed under: uncultured bacterium
Lineage: Bacteria
Description: bacterial SSU rRNA
Rfam family: Bacterial small subunit ribosomal RNA
Source: RNAcentral
GUCGAGAAUUUUUCUCAAUGGGGGAAACCCUGAAGGAGCGACGCCGCGUGGAGGAUGAAGGUCUUCGGAUUGUAAACUCCUGUCAUUGGGGAACAAGUCGCUUACGUUAACUGCGUGAGCGUUGAUAGUACCCGAAGAGGAAGAGACGGCUAACUCUGUGCCAGCAGCCGCGGUAAUACAGAGGUCUCAAGCGUUGUUCGGAUUCAUUGGGCGUAAAGGGUGCGUAGGCGGCGCGGUAAGUCGGGUGUGAAAUCUUGGAGCUUAACUCCGAAACUGCAUUCGAUACUGCCGUGCUUGAGGACUGGAGAGGAGACUGGAAUUUACGGUGUAGCGGUGAAAUGCGUAGAUAUCGUAAGGAAGACCAGUGGCGAAGGCGGGUCUCUGGACAGUUCCUGACGCUGAGGCACGAAGGUCAGGGGAGCAAAC